GACGAACGCUGGCGGCGUGCUUAACACAUGCAAGUCGAACGGAAAGGCCCUGCUGUUGUGGGGUGCUCGAGUGGCGAACGGGUGAGUAACACGUGAGUAACCUGCCCUUGACUUUGGGAUAACUUCAGGAAACUGGGGCUAAUACCGGAUAGGAGCUCCUGCUGCAUGGUGGGGGUUGGAAAGUUUCGGCGGUUGGGGAUGGACUCGCGGCUUAUCAGCUUGUUGGUGGGGUAGUGGCUUACCAAGGCUUUGACGGGUAGCCGGCCUGAGAGGGUGACCGGCCACAUUGGUACUGAGAUACCGACCAGUCUCCUACGGGAGGCAGCAGUGGGGAAUAUUGCACAAUGGGCGGAAGCGUGAUGCAGCAACGUCGCGUGCGGGAUGACGGCCUUCUGGUGGUAAACCGCUUUCGCCUGUGACGAAGCGUGAGUGACGGUAACGGGUAAAGAAGCACCGGCUAACUACGUG
This 468-nucleotide ribosomal RNA is filed under the name uncultured bacterium. Its description in RNAcentral is "partial 16S ribosomal RNA". It matches the Rfam family "Bacterial small subunit ribosomal RNA", at positions 28 to 507 of the family's 1533-position model. The record is from RNAcentral.